GCAGUGUACCCGCGGCAAGACGGAAAGACCCCGUGAACCUUUACUAUAGCUUGACACUGAACACUGGUCCUUGAUGUGUAGGAUAGGUGGGAGGCUUUGAAGCGUGGACGCCAGUCUGCGUGGAGCCGUCCUUGAAAUACCACCCUUUAAUGGCUGGUGUUCUAACGUAGACCCGUAAUCCGGGUUGCGGACAGUGUCUGGUGGGUAGUUUGACUGGGGCGGUCUCCUCCCAAAGAGUAACGGAGGAGCACGAAGG
Molecule: ribosomal RNA, 256 nt
Filed under: Enterobacter cloacae
Lineage: Bacteria; Pseudomonadati; Pseudomonadota; Gammaproteobacteria; Enterobacterales; Enterobacteriaceae
Also listed under: 1 other name
Description: partial 23S ribosomal RNA
Rfam family: Bacterial large subunit ribosomal RNA
Source: RNAcentral